CACUUCCAGGGAUGAAGGAGGAAAGACGUAGUCAUCUGCUUGCCCCAGCUCACAGCCGGACGCUGCGGCUUUUGGAAAAUAGCCACCAUGAAGCCGGUGGCCCUGGUCCCCCUCUCGAGGUAUCAUAAAGCCAUUCAUAACGGCAUAAACGCCUGACAACACUCCCUGAUGCCAGCCCGGGAGUCUCACUCUGUCAUCCAGACUCUCCACCCAGUGGCGUGAUGAUCAUAGCUCAUUGCAGCCUUGAACUCCUGAGCUCAAGCAAUCCUCCCACCUCAGCCUCCCAAGUAGCUGGGACCACAGGCAUGUCCCACCACACCUGGCUCUUUCCUCCUGGCCUCAAGCAAUCCUCCCACCUCAGCUUC
RNAcentral lists this long non-coding RNA (365 nucleotides) under Homo sapiens (human). RNAcentral describes it as "non-protein coding lnc-MTHFSD-62:2". Lineage: Eukaryota; Metazoa; Chordata; Mammalia; Primates; Hominidae. The record is from RNAcentral.